AGACGUGGCCGACGUGAGUCAAAGUGUGGUAUGUGUUCUCAGCUGCUUAAUAUCUCAUACGGCUAGUAAUUGGACCCUAGACAUUAUAGUUAUUUUCGCAAGUUGGCGGCGUGCUUGAAGCCUGCUUCAUUUCCGCCGCGGGUCGGAGCGGUAUUGCACUAUCUUCGCGAUCGGCCCACGGGCU
Dermacentor andersoni is the source of this 184-nucleotide small nuclear RNA. RefSeq annotates it as U2 spliceosomal RNA. NCBI's taxonomy places the organism in Eukaryota, Metazoa, Arthropoda, Arachnida, Ixodida, Ixodidae. The record is from RefSeq and is a predicted model, not a curated record.